This 468-nucleotide ribosomal RNA is filed under the name uncultured bacterium. Its description in RNAcentral is "partial 16S ribosomal RNA". It matches the Rfam family "Bacterial small subunit ribosomal RNA", at positions 28 to 507 of the family's 1533-position model. The record is from RNAcentral.
GACGAACGCUGGAGGCGUGCUUAACACAUGCAAGUCGAACGGAAAGGCCCUGCUUUUGUGGGGUGCUCGAGUGGCGAACGGGUGAGUAACACGUGAGUAACCUGCCCUUGACUUUGGGAUAACUUCAGGAAACUGGGGCUAAUACCAGAUAGGAGCUCCUGCUGCAUGGUGGGGGUUGGAAAGUUUCGGCGGUUGGGGAUGGACUCGCGGCUUAUCAGCUUGUUGGUGGGGUAGUGGCUUACCAAGGCUUUGACGGGUAGCCGGCCUGAGAGGGUGACCGGCCACAUUGGGACUGAGAUACGGCCCAGGCUCCUACGGGAGGCAGCAGUGGGGAAUAUUGCACAAUGGGCGGAAGCCUGAUGCAGCAACGCCGCGUGCGGGAUGACGGCCUUCGGGUUGUAAACCGCUUUCGCCUGUGACGAAGCGUGAGUGACGGUAAUGGGUAAAGAAGCACCGGCUAACUACGUG